ACUCCUUCUCCUUCCUCCAGCUAAUUUUCGCUCCUCCUCCACGAUCUGCUUGUCCCCCACCUGUUCCGGUUACGCGCAUCGAUAUUUGCUCGAUUUUUCUGGCGCCUGGGGGCGGGGCUUUCGUUCGCGGUUGCACAGCUGCCUGCUCCGCCGGAUCUCGCCGCGAUCGGAACGCGGGCACGGUUUGGGUCACGGAGGCUGUUCACCGGACAGGACUGUCCUGCGCCAAAAUUCCGGGCAUGCCGUGCCUGCCCAGUAUGCACUAGGCUCAGUAGGUCGAUGUAAGGAGGUAGGUACUAUAACUGAACUGUUUUUGUUUUUGCAUCUGGAAUUCAGGUUCAGUAAGUUUUUUUUAAAUGAUCUGGUUAUGGAUGUCCUUUUUGUUUAAUUGACGACGGGUAGAUGAGUAAUUCUUUAUGAAUCAUUUAAGUUGUGGAGUGCAUAGUUGAUGUGAAUAGUGUUCAGUAAAUCCUGGACGGUGAGUACUCUCCAAAGUUAGGGCA
Zea mays is the source of this 503-nucleotide long non-coding RNA. RefSeq lists it as uncharacterized. The transcript is spliced from 2 exons. The record is from RefSeq and is a predicted model, not a curated record. Lineage: Eukaryota; Viridiplantae; Streptophyta; Magnoliopsida; Poales; Poaceae.